GACAGAGGGGGCGAGCGUUGUCCGGAGUCACUGGGCGUAAAGCGCGCGCAGGCGGCAACCUCAGUGUCGUGUGAAAGCCCCCGGCUCAACCGGGGGAGGCCAUGGCAAACUGGGUCGCUCGAGCUGCGGAGAGGACCCUCGAAUUGCCGGUGUAGCGGUGAAAUGCGUAGAGAUCGGCAGGAAGACCAAGGGGGAAGCCAGGGGGCUGGCCGCCGGCUGACGCUGAGGCGCGACAGCGUGGGGAGCAAACCGG
Molecule: ribosomal RNA, 253 nt
Filed under: uncultured bacterium
Lineage: Bacteria
Description: partial 16S ribosomal RNA
Rfam family: Bacterial small subunit ribosomal RNA
Source: RNAcentral